GGUCACUGCUAUUGGGAUUCGGCUAAGCCAUGCAAGCGGAGGGCGCGGUCGAAAGAUCGUGGCCCCGCACACUGCUCAGUAACACGUAGUCAACCUACCCUUGGGACAGGGACAACCUCGGGAAACUGAGGCUAAUCCCCGAUAGGUGAGGGACGCUGGAAUGCCUCCUCGCCCAAAGCUCCGGCGCCCAAGGAUGGGACUGCGGUCUAUCAGGCUGUUGGUGGUGUAACGGACCACCAAACCUACGACGGGUACGGGCGAUGGGAGUCGGAGCCCAGAGAUGGGGACUGAGACAAGGCCCCAGGCCCUACGGGGCGCAGCAGGCGCGAAAACUCCGCAAUGCGCGCAAGCGUGACGGGGGAAUCCCAAGUGCCGUUGGUCUUAUGAUCGACGGUUUUUAGGAAGUCUAAGAAGCUUCCAGAAUAAGGGCUGGGCAAGACUGGUGCCAGCCGCCGCGGUAACACCAGCAGCCCAAGUGGUGACCACGAUUAUUGGGCCUAAAGCGCUCGUAGCCGGAUCAGCAAGUCCCUUGUGAAAUCGGGCCGCCCAACGGUUCGGCGUGCAAGGGAUACUGUUGGUCUUGAGGCCGGGAGAGGUCGGAGGUACUCCUGGGGUAGCGGUGAAAUGCUCUAAUCCUAGGGGGACCACCAGUGGCGAAGGCGUCCGACCAGAACGGACCUGACGGUGAGGGGCGAAGGCUAGGGGAGCGAACGGGAUUAGAUACCCCGGUAGUCCUAGCUGUAAAGCAUGCGGGCCAGGUGUCUAGCGCUCCUUGAGGGCGCUAGGUGCCGGAGGGAAGCCGUUAAGCCCGCCGCCUGGGAAGUACGGCCGCAAGGCUGAAACUUAAAGAAAUUGGCGGGGGAGCACCACAAGAGGUGGGACCUGCGGUUC
RNAcentral lists this ribosomal RNA (891 nucleotides) under uncultured archaeon. RNAcentral's name for it is "bacterial SSU rRNA". It matches the Rfam family "Archaeal small subunit ribosomal RNA", at positions 21 to 903 of the family's 1478-position model. The record is from RNAcentral.